AUGAGUUUAACCCAUUCUUUUCCAGGCUAAACCCAAUAGGGAGUUUAUGUUUCCAGGCAAAAAGGAAGGGAAGAUUUUAUUGUCUUCUUUUCUGGAAUGAAAAUAUCACCUGUUUCCAAGGCAUCUAUGGUGGACUUCAUCUUUGCAUUUUCAGUAACUGUCACAGUGCCUAGAAGGCCUUCCAAAAAUAUUUAUUAAACUGAAAACAUGAACCAAGUUGUUAAUGAAGCUUCAACUUUUCCCUCACCUGUCCCAUCCCAUUUGCACAUUAGGAAAAACAUCUAACCAACGUGAUUUGAGUGAGUUCUGCUUCCCAUCAGCUCAAGUAGCUUCUGUUGAGUCAACUCUCAUGAAAAUAAGACCAUAAACUGGGGACAAAAUAUUUUAAAAACUAAUUACCUAAAAGUACUAGAGACUAAAGAAAAACACCCAGCUACUAGAAGAGGAUUGAUUUGUGGACAAAGUGAAUGGUACAGGGUAUAGUGUUUUUUUUUUUUGUUUUUGUUUUUAAAUUGUUCGUAGAUUUCAGCAUGAGGGCAGCUUCUAAUCUGUACCCCAGGAUGAAUUAAAGAAAUGAAAAAUGUCAUCUUACUAGCCUGAGAAUCAAAAUACAGAAUUCAGAGUAACCAAAGCUCCUAUAAAGCGAGGAGAAAAUCCUGAACAGGAGUGAGAGAAUGAAGACCCUAAAUCCUGUUUAUAAAUUACUUGAAUCUCUCUCUGAUCUUUAAACCAUUCAUAAAUAACAGGGAACUGCUUCAAAACAACCAAGCAGCACACAUUCUUUUGAGGAACAUAACAGAAUCCAAAGUUUCUAUAACAUAUUUUUCCACAAUGUUGGGAAUAUAAUCCAAAAUUAAUUAAUAUAUGAAGAAACAAGAAGACAUCAUCUGUACAUAAAGAAAAGCAAAAAUUAUAACAUUAUUAUAUGGGAUUCAUAAUGUAUAUGGAUGUAAUACAUAUCAGAACUAUAACGUAAAUGUUAUGGUUUGUUAGAUUUAAAAUGAGAUAAUAUAAUAUUAAUUCAAAAUUGGCUGUGAAAAGUUAAGAAUGUGUAUUAUAAUCCCCAGAGCAAACACUAAAAAUAAUGUGCAAAUAGGUAUGGCUAACAAGUUAAAAAAAGAAUUAAAAUGGAAUCUUAUCUUUCAAAUAUGAUUACUGUCUUUCGGAUAUGAUUCUACAGCAGAUUAUUAGGUCCACCCAAAAGCAGUUUAUAACCGCAGAAUAAAAAGAUAGCAAAAUCCAGAUGUGAACAUCCUAAAAGUUUCCCUAGAGACAAGACCCCUCCAGCCUUAAUUAAAACAACAAGGAAAGAAAUAGAAUUCAGGAGGGACAUCCCGGAUUUAGGGACACAAGACUAAGGGCACAUAAACAAAAAGUUCAGAGUUACUGGAGCAGGAGGGUUGGCAACGCAUAAGAAACUCCUAGUUUUAGUCUGCUUCCUGCAGCUGUUUUCCCUAGGUCUUAGGGAAGGCUAAUAAGGCCGAGGGAGGUGAGAGCCAGCCACAACCAACUGCUACCAGCACUUUGAACUAAUUUGGGUAAACAAGUGGCUAAGAAUUUUGCUAACUUCACUUCCAAGAUACUGCAGGAAGGAAAACAGCAAAACAUUAUUGUUGUCCCUCUUUCAACCUAGUGUUUUUGCACCUGUAUUGAUGUGUCACAAAGCAGGGGAAGUUGCAUAACCUAGUUGCAACCAAUCCCUGAGUUUAGUCACAUACUCCUUUGGGAUACAGUUUCCAAAUAAGUUGUGUAUUUCAAAAUCAAUAGUUGUGAGGGCAUGAAGGUGCCUGAGAAGUUCAUACUAUGCUAGCCACAAAUUCCACAUUAUUAAUAUUGUUUAGACAAGGAAUUGCAAAGAUUGAAGAUGGUUCAGUGAUACAAAUUACACUAAACUCUAAACCAUAUGUAAGCACAUGGGAAACUCCUUCACAUGGUUUUCUGGAAUCUACAUGUCUGACUCAGUCUUAAAGGUAAUCAAGUCUUGCCCAGUUCUGAUUCAGCACUGUACAGAGAACAUAUUCCUUACCCAAGGGAUUAUGAUUUGAGAGUUUCUGGGGGAGAAGGCUGAAAGAUAAGUAAUAGAAGGACAGUGUAGAUUCAAGAUUAUUUUAAAUUUUUACUGGUUUAUUUAAUAGGAUGUUUCAGAGGGCAGAGAUGCCAUCCUUGAGGAACCGCCACAUGCUCAAUUAUUCAGAAGCUCUCUAGACCCUGUCUUUGGGUUUUUGUGGGGACUCCAUUACAUAUACAUGAUUGGUUACAUCCUUGGGCACUGAUGAUCGAUUUAUCCUUCAGUCAAGAGGACGACAUAAAGUAAAAUACUGGCUAUUGUAUCUUUGUAUCUCUAAAAUGAGGAGAAUAAGAUAAAAAAUUUAAGGGUGCUCCAAAAACCCCAGUAAUCAAGAGAAACAUUGCCAUGUAAUAUUUUUUAAAGUAAAAAUUCAUGUAAAAAUGCGCAAUAAAC
RNAcentral lists this long non-coding RNA (2461 nucleotides) under Marmota monax (woodchuck). The record is from RNAcentral. Lineage: Eukaryota; Metazoa; Chordata; Mammalia; Rodentia; Sciuridae.